Molecule: long non-coding RNA, 346 nt
Organism: Acipenser ruthenus (sterlet)
Lineage: Eukaryota; Metazoa; Chordata; Actinopteri; Acipenseriformes; Acipenseridae
Exons: 3
Source: RefSeq, a predicted model, not a curated record
GUGAAGAGCCCGACUGUGUGUGUCGUAUUCUGGGUAUAAAGGUGUCCAGAGGGCAAGGCAGUUGGAGAUAUAAUACAGUGACAACAUGCCAGUUGCUAAGCUGAACCCAGCCUGACAACAGGUCCCUCUGGAGAAAACCCUGUCAUUCCUAACAUUGAACAUCUCCGGGGCAACGAGCUUGAUGUAAUGGAGGAUUCUGUCCACCUCGGAAAAGAAAUAAUACCAAUGUCAAGUGCUGUCAACAAGCUACAAAUCAGUCAGGGCAACAAAGCUAUAUAGCACAAGCAGUGAGAAGGGAGAGAAGAGGAUGACAUAGAAAACAGACCAGAUGGUUACUAUGAAUUAA